AGCGAACGCUGGCGGCAGGCUUAACACAUGCAAGUCGAACGCCCCGCAAGGGGAGUGGCAGACGGGUGAGUAACACGUGGGAACGUACCCUUUGGUUCGGAAUAACUUGGGGAAUCUCAAGCUAAUACCGGAUAAGCCCUUAUGGGGAAAGGUUUACUGCCGAAGGAUCGGCCCGCGUCUGAUUAGCUAGUUGGUGAGGUAAUGGCUUACCAAGGCGACGAUCAGUAGCUGGUCUGAGAGGAUGAUCAGCCACACUGGGACUGAGACACGGCCCAGACUCCUACGGGAGGCAGCAGUGGGGAAUAUUGGACAAUGGGGGCAACCCUGAUCCAGCCAUGCCGCGUGAGUGAUGAAGGCCUUAGGGUUGUAAAGCUCUUUUACCCGGGACGAUAAUGACUGCACCGGGAGAAUAAGCCCCGGCUAACUUCGUGCCAGCCGCCGCUGUAA
This 447-nucleotide ribosomal RNA is filed under the name uncultured bacterium. RNAcentral describes it as "partial 16S ribosomal RNA". It matches the Rfam family "Bacterial small subunit ribosomal RNA", at positions 29 to 523 of the family's 1533-position model. The record is from RNAcentral.